GUGAGGAAUAUUGGACAAUGGAUGGAAAUCUGAUCCAGCCAUGCCGCGUGCAGGAAGACGGCCCUAUGGGUUGUAAACUGCUUUUAUACGGGAGCAAUAAGGUCUAUGCAUAGAUUGAUGAGAGUACCGUAUGAAUAAGCAUCGGCUAACUCCGUGCCAGCAGCCGCGGUAAUACGGAGGAUGCGAGCGUUAUCCGGAUUUAUUGUGUUUAAAGGGUGCGUAGGCGGCUUUGUAAGUCAGCGGUGAAAUUUUGCAGCUUAACUGUAAAAGCGCCGUUGUUACUGUGAAGCUAGGAUAUGGUGGCUGUGGGCGGAAUGUGUGGUGUAGCGGUGAAAUGCAUAGAGAUCACACAGAAUAUCGAUUGCGAAGGCAGCUCACAAAGCCAAUAUUGACGCUGAGGCACGAAAGUGUGGGGAUCAAACAGGAUUAGAUACCCUGGUAGUCC
Molecule: ribosomal RNA, 445 nt
Filed under: uncultured bacterium
Lineage: Bacteria
Description: partial 16S ribosomal RNA
Rfam family: Bacterial small subunit ribosomal RNA
Source: RNAcentral